This 159-nucleotide ribosomal RNA is filed under the name uncultured bacterium. Its description in RNAcentral is "partial 16S ribosomal RNA". It matches the Rfam family "Bacterial small subunit ribosomal RNA", at positions 1342 to 1500 of the family's 1533-position model. The record is from RNAcentral.
UCGUAGGUCAGCAUACUACGGUGAAUACGUUCCCGGGCCUUGUACACACCGCCCGUCAAACCAUGAGAGUUGGCAACACCCGAAGUCGGUAGUCUAACCGCAAGGAGGACGCCGCCGAAGGUGGGGUCGAUGAUUAGGGUUAAGUCGUAACAAGGUAUC